This 450-nucleotide ribosomal RNA is filed under the name uncultured bacterium. Its description in RNAcentral is "bacterial SSU rRNA". It matches the Rfam family "Bacterial small subunit ribosomal RNA", at positions 29 to 524 of the family's 1533-position model. The record is from RNAcentral.
AACGAACGCUGGCGGCGUGCCUAACACAUGCAAGUCGAACGAAGUCUUCGGACUUAGUGGCGCACGGGUGCGUAACGCGUGGGAAUCUGCCCUUGGGUGCGGAAUAACUUCUCGAAAGGGAUGCUAAUACCGCAUAAUGUCGUAAGACCAAAGAUUUAUCGCCCAAGGAUGAGCCCGCGUAAGAUUAGCUAGUUGGUGGGGUAAAAGCCUACCAAGGCGACGAUCUUUAGCUGGUCUGAGAGGAUGAUCAGCCACACUGGGACUGAGACACGGCCCAGACUCCUACGGGAGGCAGCAGUGGGGGAUAUUGGACAAUGGGCGAAAGCCUGAUCCAGCAAUGCCGCGUGAGUGAUGAAGGCCCUAGGGUUGUAAAGCUCUUUUACCAGGGAUGAUAAUGACAGUACCUGGAGAAUAAGCUCCGGCUAACUCCGUGCCAGCAGCCGCGGUAAU